GGACGAACGCUGGCGGCGUGCCUAAUACAUGCAAGUCGAGCGGACGAUUCGAAAGCUUGCUUUUGAAUCGUUAGCGGCGGACGGGUGAGUAACACGUGGGCAACCUGCCCUGUAGACGGGGAUAACACCGAGAAAUCGGUGCUAAUACCGGAUAACACGAAAUGUCGCAUGACGUUUCGUUGAAAGGCGGCGCAAGCUGCCGCUACAGGAUGGGCCCGCGGCGCAUUAGCUAGUUGGUGAGGUAACGGCUCACCAAGGCGACGAUGCGUAGCCGACCUGAGAGGGUGAUCGGCCACACUGGGACUGAGACACGGCCCAGACUCCUACGGGAGGCAGCAGUAGGGAAUCUUCCGCAAUGGACGAAAGUCUGACGGAGCAACGCCGCGUGAGCGAAGAAGGCCUUCGGGUCGUAAAGCUCUGUUGUUAGGGAAGAACAAGUAACGUAGUAACUGACGUUACUAUGACGGUACCUAACGUGAAAGCCACGGCUAACUACGUG
This 499-nucleotide ribosomal RNA is filed under the name uncultured bacterium. Its description in RNAcentral is "partial 16S ribosomal RNA". It matches the Rfam family "Bacterial small subunit ribosomal RNA", at positions 27 to 507 of the family's 1533-position model. The record is from RNAcentral.